AACGCGAAGAACCUUACCAUCCCUUGACAUGUCGUGCCAGCUGGAGAGAUCCAGGGUUCCCUUCGGGGACGCGAACACAGGUGCUGCAUGACUGUCGUCAGCUCGUGUCGUGAGAUGUUGGGUUAAGUCCCGCAACGAGCGCAACCCUUGUCAUUAGUUGCCAUCAUUCAGUUGGGCACUCUAGGGAGACUGCCGGUGAUAAGCCGCGAGGAAGGUGUGGAUGACGUCAAGUCCUCAUGGCCCUUACGGGAUGGGCUACACACGUGCUACAAUGGCGGUGACAGUGGGAAGCGAAGGAGCGAUCUGGAGCAAAUCCCCAAAAACCGUCUCAGUUCAGAUUGCACUCUGCAACUCGAGUGCAUGAAGGCGGAAUCGCUAGUAAUCGUGGAUCAGCAUGCCACGGUGAAUACGUUCCCGGGCCUUGUACACACC
This 432-nucleotide ribosomal RNA is filed under the name uncultured Methylobacterium sp. RNAcentral describes it as "bacterial SSU rRNA". It matches the Rfam family "Bacterial small subunit ribosomal RNA", at positions 958 to 1391 of the family's 1533-position model. Lineage: Bacteria; Pseudomonadati; Pseudomonadota; Alphaproteobacteria; Hyphomicrobiales; Methylobacteriaceae. The record is from RNAcentral.